GAGGGCCUCUCACAGAUAAGAAAAGGAAGGGAGUAUAAGAACUCCCUAAAGCUAGACAGAUAUGUUGGCUUGAGCGAAGAUAUGAGACCUCCGGUUCAGGCCGACCAGCGCUUCUGCAAAACUAAUUAUUCUAACACAAAGUAUUUUUCAUCGAAUCAU
Syngnathus acus (greater pipefish) is the source of this 159-nucleotide long non-coding RNA. RefSeq lists it as uncharacterized. The transcript has 4 exons. NCBI's taxonomy places the organism in Eukaryota, Metazoa, Chordata, Actinopteri, Syngnathiformes, Syngnathidae. The record is from RefSeq and is a predicted model, not a curated record.